AGAAGGCAGAACGCUGAAAAAUUGAUACUUUUGAAUUGGAGAAGACUCUUGAGAGUCACUUGAGGAGACUCAAGUGAGGAGACUCACUUGAGGAGACCAAACUUGCAAGGAGAUAAAACCAGUCGAUGAUAUAGGAAAUUAACUCUGAAUACUUGGUGGAAGGACUGACACUGAAGU
Molecule: long non-coding RNA, 177 nt
Organism: Cervus elaphus (red deer)
Lineage: Eukaryota; Metazoa; Chordata; Mammalia; Artiodactyla; Cervidae
Exons: 3
Source: RefSeq, a predicted model, not a curated record